GUGCCAGCCGCCGCGGUAAGACGAACCGUGCGAACGUUGUUCGGAAUCACUGGGCUUAAAGGGUGCGUAGGCGGGGUGGCAAGUCUGUGGUGAAAUCCUCCGGCUCAACCGGAGAACUGCCGUGGAUACUGCUACUCUCGAGGGGUGUAGGGGCAUGUGGAACUCAGGGUGGAGCGGUGAAAUGCGUAGAUAUCCUGAGGAACGCCGGUGGCGAAAGCGACGUGCUGGACACCUUCUGACGCUGAGGCACGAAAGCCAGGGGAGCGAACGGGAUUAGAUACCCGCGUAGUCC
This 292-nucleotide ribosomal RNA is filed under the name uncultured bacterium. Its description in RNAcentral is "partial 16S ribosomal RNA". It matches the Rfam family "Bacterial small subunit ribosomal RNA", at positions 505 to 796 of the family's 1533-position model. The record is from RNAcentral.